This 1809-nucleotide ribosomal RNA is filed under the name Klebsiella pneumoniae. Its description in RNAcentral is "23S ribosomal RNA". It matches the Rfam family "Bacterial large subunit ribosomal RNA", at positions 1137 to 2925 of the family's 2925-position model. The record is from RNAcentral. Lineage: Bacteria; Pseudomonadati; Pseudomonadota; Gammaproteobacteria; Enterobacterales; Enterobacteriaceae.
AUAGCUCACUGGUCGAGUCGGCCUGCGCGGAAGAUGUAACGGGGCUAAACCAUGCACCGAAGCUGCGGCAGCGACACUAUGUGUUGUUGGGUAGGGGAGCGUUCUGUAAGCCUGCGAAGGUGUGCUGUGAGGCAUGCUGGAGGUAUCAGAAGUGCGAAUGCUGACAUAAGUAACGAUAAAGCGGGUGAAAAGCCCGCUCGCCGGAAGACCAAGGGUUCCUGUCCAACGUUAAUCGGGGCAGGGUGAGUCGACCCCUAAGGCGAGGCCGAAAGGCGUAGUCGAUGGGAAACAGGUUAAUAUUCCUGUACUUGGUGUUACUGCGAAGGGGGGACGGAGAAGGCUAUGUUAGCCGGGCGACGGUUGUCCCGGUUUAAGCAUGUAGGCUGGUUAUCCAGGCAAAUCCGGAUAAUCAAGGCUGAGGUGUGAUGACGAGGCACUACGGUGCUGAAGUAACAAAUGCCCUGCUUCCAGGAAAAGCCUCUAAGCAUCAGGUAACAUCAAAUCGUACCCCAAACCGACACAGGUGGUCAGGUAGAGAAUACCAAGGCGCUUGAGAGAACUCGGGUGAAGGAACUAGGCAAAAUGGUGCCGUAACUUCGGGAGAAGGCACGCUGGUGUGUAGGUGAAGUCCCUGCGGAUGGAGCUGAGACCAGUCGAAGAUACCAGCUGGCUGCAACUGUUUAUUAAAAACACAGCACUGUGCAAACACGAAAGUGGACGUAUACGGUGUGACGCCUGCCCGGUGCCGGAAGGUUAAUUGAUGGGGUUAUCCGUAAGGAGAAGCUCUUGAUCGAAGCCCCGGUAAACGGCGGCCGUAACUAUAACGGUCCUAAGGUAGCGAAAUUCCUUGUCGGGUAAGUUCCGACCUGCACGAAUGGCGUAAUGAUGGCCAGGCUGUCUCCACCCGAGACUCAGUGAAAUUGAACUCGCUGUGAAGAUGCAGUGUACCCGCGGCAAGACGGAAAGACCCCGUGAACCUUUACUAUAGCUUGACACUGAACAUUGAGCCUUGAUGUGUAGGAUAGGUGGGAGGCUUUGAAGCGUGGACGCCAGUCUGCGUGGAGCCAACCUUGAAAUACCACCCUUUAAUGUUUGAUGUUCUAACGUUGGCCCCUGACCGGGGUUGCGGACAGUGUCUGGUGGGUAGUUUGACUGGGGCGGUCUCCUCCCAAAGCGUAACGGAGGAGCACGAAGGUUAGCUAAUCCUGGUCGGACAUCAGGAGGUUAGUGCAAUGGCAUAAGCUAGCUUGACUGCGAGCGUGACGGCGCGAGCAGGUGCGAAAGCAGGUCAUAGUGAUCCGGUGGUUCUGAAUGGAAGGGCCAUCGCUCAACGGAUAAAAGGUACUCCGGGGAUAACAGGCUGAUACCGCCCAAGAGUUCAUAUCGACGGCGGUGUUUGGCACCUCGAUGUCGGCUCAUCACAUCCUGGGGCUGAAGUAGGUCCCAAGGGUAUGGCUGUUCGCCAUUUAAAGUGGUACGCGAGCUGGGUUUAGAACGUCGUGAGACAGUUCGGUCCCUAUCUGCCGUGGGCGCUGGAGAAUUGAGGGGGGCUGCUCCUAGUACGAGAGGACCGGAGUGGACGCAUCACUGGUGUUCGGGUUGUCAUGCCAAUGGCACUGCCCGGUAGCUAAAUGCGGAAGAGAUAAGUGCUGAAAGCAUCUAAGCACGAAACUUGCCCCGAGAUGAGUUCUCCCUGAGACUUUAAGUCUCCUGAAGGAACGUUAAAGACGAUGACGUUGAUAGGCCGGGUGUGUAAGCGCAGCGAUGCGUUGAGCUAACCGGUACUAAUGAACCGUGAGGCUUAACCUU